CGCCAGGGCCCAUGGAACGUGGACUUGUGAACCCCGCCAGGGCCGGAAGGCAGCAACGGUGCUUGUUCCGCGUCUGCCGUGGGUACCCUGGCAUUU
RNAcentral lists this signal recognition particle RNA (96 nucleotides) under Pseudomonadota bacterium. RNAcentral's name for it is "Proteobacteria bacterium (freshwater metagenome) signal recognition particle sRNA small type". It matches the Rfam family "Bacterial small signal recognition particle RNA". From Rfam's summary of the family: The signal recognition particle (SRP) is a universally conserved ribonucleoprotein involved in the co-translational targeting of proteins to membranes. Archaeal SRP consists of a 7S RNA and homologues of the eukaryotic SRP19 and SRP54 proteins. Lineage: Bacteria; Pseudomonadati; Pseudomonadota. RNAcentral also lists the same sequence under 3 other names. The record is from RNAcentral.